AACUUUUGACGGUGGAUCUCUUGGCUCACGCAUCGAUGAAGAACGCAGCCAGCUGCGAUAAGUAGUGUGAAUUGCAGAAUUCAGUGAAUCAUCGAAUCUUUGAACGCAAAUGGCGCUCUUGGGUUCUCCCAGGAGCAUGUCUGUCUGAGUGUCGGAUAUACAUCCAUC
Molecule: ribosomal RNA, 168 nt
Filed under: Favites paraflexuosus
Lineage: Eukaryota; Metazoa; Cnidaria; Anthozoa; Scleractinia; Merulinidae
Also listed under: 1 other name
Description: Favites paraflexuosa 5.8S ribosomal RNA
Rfam family: 5.8S ribosomal RNA
About the family: 5.8S ribosomal RNA (5.8S rRNA) is a component of the large subunit of the eukaryotic ribosome. It is transcribed by RNA polymerase I as part of the 45S precursor that also contains 18S and 28S rRNA.
Source: RNAcentral